Long non-coding RNA from Nannospalax galili (Upper Galilee mountains blind mole rat), 275 nucleotides. RefSeq lists it as uncharacterized. The transcript is spliced from 2 exons. The record is from RefSeq and is a predicted model, not a curated record. NCBI's taxonomy places the organism in Eukaryota, Metazoa, Chordata, Mammalia, Rodentia, Spalacidae.
GACGGGGUGUAGCCGGGAGCGCGAAAUCCCGAGAGUAGGGAAGAGGGGGCGGGGUCGCGCUCACCCGGCUUAGGCAUGCACGGGUGGCCACGGGAGAAGUAGGUAGAAGCCGGCUGCGUGGAGCCGCCGAGGCUCCUCGCUCGCGCGUGGCGGACCCCGGGGACGCACGGUUACCUGGCCGGCCCGGGUCGGCGCUGUGCUUCAGGCAUAAUGCUUAUGAAAGCUACUGUAGAGGAGGAUGAUUCAGGAUGGGAGCUCAGUGUUCCUGAGAAAAU